UACGUAGGGGGCAAGCGUUGUCCGGAAUUAUUGGGCGUAAAGAGCUCGUAGGCGGCUUGUUGCGUCGACCGUGAAAACCCGGGGCUCAACUUCGGGCUUGCGGUUGAUACGGGCGGGCUGGAGUUCGGUAGGGGAGACUGGAAUUCCUGGUGUAGCGGUGAAAUGCGCAGAUAUCAGGAGGAACACCGGUGGCGAAGGCGGCACUCUGGGCCGGAACUGACGCUGAGGAGCGAAAGCGUGGGUAGCAAACAGG
This 253-nucleotide ribosomal RNA is filed under the name uncultured bacterium. Its description in RNAcentral is "partial 16S ribosomal RNA". It matches the Rfam family "Bacterial small subunit ribosomal RNA", at positions 524 to 776 of the family's 1533-position model. The record is from RNAcentral.